AGCGAACGCUGGCGGCAGGCCUAACACAUGCAAGUCGAGCGCUCGUAGCAAUACGAGAGCGGCAGACGGGAGAGUAACACGUGGGAACGUACCCUUUGGUUCGGAACAACACAGGGAAACUUGUGCUAAUACCGAAUAAGCCCUUACGGGGAAAGAUUUAUCGCCGAAGGAUCGGCCCGCGUCUGAUUAGCUAGUUGGUGGGGUAAUGGCUCACCAAGGCGACGAUCAGUAGCNGGUCUGAGAGGAUGACCAGCCUCAUUGGGACUGAGACACGGCCCAAACUCCUACGGGAGGCAGCAGUGGGGAAUAUUGGACAAUGGGCGCAAGCCUGAUCCAGCCAUGCCGCGUGGAUGAUGAAGGCCUUAGGGUUGUAAAGUCCUUUUAACGGGAAGAUAAUGACGGUACCCGUAGAAUAAGCCCCGGACUAACUUCGUGCCAGCCGCCGCGGUAAU
RNAcentral lists this ribosomal RNA (452 nucleotides) under uncultured bacterium. RNAcentral describes it as "bacterial SSU rRNA". It matches the Rfam family "Bacterial small subunit ribosomal RNA", at positions 29 to 524 of the family's 1533-position model. The record is from RNAcentral.